GCCUACGGGGGGCAGCAGUGGGGAAUAUUGCACAAUGGGGGGAACCCUGAUGCAGCGACGCCGCGUGAGCAAUGAAGCAUUUCGGUAUGUAAAGCUCUAUCAGCAGGGAAGAAAAUGACGGUACCUGACUAAGAAGCCCCGGCUAACUACGUGCCAGCAGCCGCGGUAAUACGUAGGGGGCAAGCGUUAUCCGGAUUUACUGGGGGUAAAGGGAGCGUAGACGGUCCUGCACGCCAGAUGUGAAAGCCCG
This 250-nucleotide ribosomal RNA is filed under the name uncultured bacterium. RNAcentral describes it as "partial 16S ribosomal RNA". It matches the Rfam family "Bacterial small subunit ribosomal RNA", at positions 337 to 604 of the family's 1533-position model. The record is from RNAcentral.